AGGACGAACGCUGGCGGCGUGCUUAACACAUGCAAGUCGUACGAUGAUGCCGCAACUUGUUGUGGUGGAUUAGUGGCGAACGGGUGAGUAACACGUGAGUAACCUGCCUUUCACUCUGGGAUAAGCCUUGGAAACGAGGUCUAAUACUGGAUAUGACUCCUUGCCGCAUGGUGGGGGUGGAAAGCCUUCGGGUGGUGGAUGAUGGACUCGCGGACUAUCAGCUUGUUGGUGGGGUUGUGGCCUACCAAGGCUUUGACGGUUAGCCGGCCUGAGAGGGUGAUCGGCCACAUUGGGACUGAGAUACGGCCCAGACUCCUACGGGAGGCAGCAGUGGGGAAUAUUGCACAAUGGGCGAAAGCCUGAUGCAGCGACGCCGCGUGGGGGAUGAAGGCCUUCGGUUGUAAACUCCUUUCGCUCGUGACGAAGCCUUUCGGGUGCGGUAGCGGGAGAGAAGCACCGGCUAACUACGUGCCAGCAGCCGCGGU
Molecule: ribosomal RNA, 485 nt
Filed under: uncultured bacterium
Lineage: Bacteria
Description: SSU rRNA
Rfam family: Bacterial small subunit ribosomal RNA
Source: RNAcentral